RNAcentral lists this long non-coding RNA (1345 nucleotides) under Melopsittacus undulatus (budgerigar). RNAcentral's name for it is "lncRNA (ENSMUNG00000008653.2)". Lineage: Eukaryota; Metazoa; Chordata; Aves; Psittaciformes; Psittaculidae. The record is from RNAcentral.
CAGGAUAUGAUUUAUAGCAUGAAUUAGCUGCUUUUGUGUGAUGAAGGGUAUAAUUAAACUCUGGUAGCAGCAUGCGGCCAUGGCAAAUGGCUUGGCAGAGAGCUGAUCUCUGGAAGCUGGCUUACACGGAACAGGGUUUGUGUUGCUGGUGCCACCGACAGGUCAGCAGGACAGCCUGGUCCCUGAGCAGGCUCCUUCCUAUCUUUGUCAAGCUCAAAGGCAACACGCGGGUUUACAAGGAGCAAGGCAAGCCAGAAGGUAUCUCCAGUGACGUCAUAAGGAAAUCCUCAAGAAAAUCUGCUGGUUGGAGACUGCCAAAAGGCUUCUCCCUGUCAAAAUCCUGACUGACAGCAAGUCAGCCAAACACUCUCUAGAAAGGACCUCCCGUGAAGCUUCUUGUGCCUGCUGUUUUGAGCUCCUUGGUACAGACAAGUCAACUCCAGGCCUGUAAUGAGGAACAAAGAUUUGGUGUACUUGCUACACAAGUACUAGAGAUGCUAAAGUAGCUGUCCAUUCCCAGGGGUGUUUCUAGCAUCUCAUCCCUUCUUGGCAAGGUGCACAAGGCUUGGCGCACUGCAUGAGGUCUCCCUCCUUGGCAAGGGGCUGAAGAGAUAACUGUACUCUGUAAUGUGGCUGUGGCUGGUAGGAGGUGUGCCCAUGGCCUCUUCUGAUGGAGAUGUGUGUACACCCUUAGGAGCACCUCAGACCUCAGCUCUGGUCAGCCCUGUGGAGAUCACAGAAUCAUAUAAUAGUUAGGGCUGGAAAGGACCUUAAGAUCAUUUGGUUCCAACCCCCCUGCCAUGGGCAGGGACACCUCAUACUAGACCAUGUUGCCCAAGGCUCUGUCCAACCUGGCCUUGAACACCACCAGGGAUGGAGCACUCACAACUUCCUUGGGCAACCUGUUCCAGCAUUCCAGUGCCUCACCACCCUCACAGUAAAGAACUUCUUCUUUGUAUCUAACCUGAACUUCCUCUGUUUAAGUUUGAACCUGUUACCCCUUGUCCUGUCACUACAGUCCGUAAUGAAGAGUCCCUCACCAGCAUCCUUGUAGGCCCCCUUCAGAUACUAGAAGGCUGCUAUGAGGUCUCUGUGCAGCCUUCUCUUCUCCAGGUUGAACAGCCCCAAUUCUCUUAGCCCAUCUUUGUAUAUGGAGAUAAGCAAGGACAACCCAGUUAGGUCUUCCACACGUAGGAGUUGGUGUGCUAGGAGUUGUCCGCCUCUGACCUCAGGUCUGCUGGCCACCCUCUGCUCUUCCUCCCUGCCCGCCCAAAGCAGGCCUGGGGCCGCGGCCUCUGGUGGGGGAGACUGCCCCUAGGCCACUCAAGGGCGCUCCCAUUCUCCG